Molecule: ribosomal RNA, 309 nt
Filed under: uncultured bacterium
Lineage: Bacteria
Description: partial 16S ribosomal RNA
Rfam family: Bacterial small subunit ribosomal RNA
Source: RNAcentral
AGAGACAGCAGUAGCCACGGGAAAACGGAGGGAGCUAGCGUUAUUCGGAAUUACUGGGCGUAAAGCGCACGUAGGCGGCUUUGUAAGUUAGAGGUGAAAGCCUGGAGCUCGACUCCGGAAUUGCCUUUAAGACUGCCGAGCUAGUAGGUGAGAGAGGUAAGUGGAAUUCCGAGUGUAGAGGUGAAAUUCGUAGAUAUUCGGAAGAACACCAGUGGCGAAGGCGGCUUACUGGCUCAUUCUAGACGCUGAGGUGCGAAAGCGUGGGGAGCAAACAGGAUUAGAUACCCGCGUAGUCCCUGUCUCUUAUAC